GUGUCAGCCGCCGCGGUAAGACGAGGGAUCCUAGCGUUGUUCGGAAUCAUUGGGCGUAAAGCGGGUGUAGGUGGCUAUGUAAGUCAGGUGUGAAAGCCUAGGGCUCAACCCUAGAAGUGCAUUUGAUACUGCGUAGCUUGAGUGCUAGAGAGGUUACUAGAAUUGUUGGUGUAGUGGUGAAAUACGUAGAUAUCAACAGGAAUACCGGUGGCGAAGGCGGGUAACUGGCUAGACACUGACACUCAGACCCGAAAGCGUGGGGAUCAAACAGGAUUAGAAACCCCUGUAGUCC
This 292-nucleotide ribosomal RNA is filed under the name uncultured bacterium. RNAcentral's name for it is "partial 16S ribosomal RNA". It matches the Rfam family "Bacterial small subunit ribosomal RNA", at positions 505 to 796 of the family's 1533-position model. The record is from RNAcentral.